UACAGAGGUCCCAAGCGUUGUUCGGAUUCACUGGGCGUAAAGGGUGCGUAGGUGGUCGGGUAAGUCUGAGGUGAAAUCUCCGAGCUCAACUCGGAAACUGCCUUGGAUACUAUCCGGCUUGAGGGUUGGAGGGGGGACUGGAAUUCUCGGUGUAGCAGUGAAAUGCGUAGAUAUCAGGAGGAACACCGGUGGCGAAGGCGGGUCUCUGGGCCGAUACUGACGCUGAGGAGCGAAAGCCAGGGGAGCAAACGGG
RNAcentral lists this ribosomal RNA (253 nucleotides) under uncultured bacterium. RNAcentral describes it as "partial 16S ribosomal RNA". It matches the Rfam family "Bacterial small subunit ribosomal RNA", at positions 524 to 776 of the family's 1533-position model. The record is from RNAcentral.